RNAcentral lists this non-coding RNA (28 nucleotides) under Plasmodium falciparum 3D7. The record is from RNAcentral. Lineage: Eukaryota; Apicomplexa; Aconoidasida; Haemosporida; Plasmodiidae.
UUUCUACAAACACAGUCAUAAACAGAUU